AUGAUCUGCUUCAAUUGUAGUUGGCCGGGCCACUAUGCGGGGAAUUGUGUGGAGCCAAAAAAGUGUUUUAUCUGUGCUGGGAAUCAUAAUGUUAACAACUGUGCUGCUUGGGAAAAACCACAGCCUGCUGCCACUUAUUUUGGUAGUGCUGCUUCUGGACUGGGGUUUUAUCACAUUGAAGUUCUUGUGGCAGCCGAGUCUAGUUGGCUAAAUUACAAAAACUGUGUUGUUCUUAAGGUGGUCACAGGAGAGGUUUCUGCCUCUGAGCUGCUAAUACAACUGAAUGGAAUUUUCUGUAAGAACAAGGAGUGGCCAUGGCAAAUCAGAGAGUUGGAAAGCAAGAAGUUCUUAUUAAGGUUCCCACCUUGGAAGAAUGUGGAUGACUUAAUUGAAUUCCCUCCUAUUGAGCUGCCUAUUGCUGGAGUAUCUGUUAAGAUCUGUGAAUGGGAAGAUAUGUUGGAUGAGUUUGGGGCACUUACUGAAGUCUGGGUGCAGAUUGAUGGUAUUCCACCCAAGUGGUGUGCAUGGAAAGUAUUUGCCCAGAUUACUGCUUGCUUUGGUAUCCUUGUGGAUGUGGAAUGGAAUGGUAUUUUCAAGAGCUUUUAUGAAAAAAUCGAGUCAAAGUUGCCUGUAGAGACCCAAGGAAAAUUCCCUUUGAGAGAUUGGUGGAGAUGA
This 675-nucleotide ribosomal RNA is filed under the name Triticum aestivum (bread wheat). RNAcentral's name for it is "partial small subunit ribosomal RNA". Lineage: Eukaryota; Viridiplantae; Streptophyta; Magnoliopsida; Poales; Poaceae. The record is from RNAcentral.